This 491-nucleotide ribosomal RNA is filed under the name uncultured bacterium. RNAcentral describes it as "partial 16S ribosomal RNA". It matches the Rfam family "Bacterial small subunit ribosomal RNA", at positions 29 to 506 of the family's 1533-position model. The record is from RNAcentral.
AGUGAACGCUGGCGGUAGGCCUAACACAUGCAAGUCGAACGGCAGCACAGUAAGAGCUUGCUCUUACGGGUGGCGAGUGGCGGACGGGUGAGGAAUACAUCGGAAUCUACUUUUUCGUGGGGGAUAACGUAGGGAAACUUACGCUAAUACCGCAUACGACCUACGGGUGAAAGCAGGGGAUCUUCGGACCUUGCGCGAUUGAAUGAGCCGAUGUCGGAUUAGCUAGUUGGCGGGGUAAAGGCCCACCAAGGCGACGAUCCGUAGCUGGUCUGAGAGGAUGAUCAGCCACACUGGAACUGAGACACGGUCCAGACUCCUACGGGAGGCAGCAGUGGGGAAUAUUGGACAAUGGGCGCAAGCCUGAUCCAGCCAUACCGCGUGGGUGAAGAAGGCCUGCGGGUUGUAAAGCCCUUUUGUUGGGAAAGAAAAGCAGCAGGUUAAUACCCCGCUGUUCUGACGGUACCCAAAGAAUAAGCACCGGCGAACUUCGU